Molecule: long non-coding RNA, 392 nt
Filed under: Mytilus galloprovincialis (Mediterranean mussel)
Lineage: Eukaryota; Metazoa; Mollusca; Bivalvia; Mytilida; Mytilidae
Source: RNAcentral
AUUUUUAUAGUUCGUUCUUAUGUUGUACUGUUAUACCACUGUCCCAGGUUAGGGGGAGGGUUUGGAUCCCGCUAACAUGUUUAACCCCGCCACUUUAUUUAUGUAUGUGCCUGUCCCAAGUCAGGAGCCUGUAAUUCAGUGGUUGUCGUUUGUUUAUGUGUUACAUAUUUGUUUUUCGUUCAUUUUUUUAACAUAAAUAAGGCCGUUAGUUUUCUCGUUUGAAUUGUUUUUACAUUGUCUUAUCGGAGCCUUUUAUAGCUGACUAUGCGGAAUGGGCUUUGCUCAUUGUUGAAGGACGUACGGUGACCUAUAGUUGUUAAUGUCUGUGUCAUUUUGGUCUUUUGUGGAUAGUUGUCUCAUUGGAAAUCAUACCACAUCUUCUUUUUUAUAAA